This 468-nucleotide ribosomal RNA is filed under the name uncultured bacterium. RNAcentral's name for it is "partial 16S ribosomal RNA". It matches the Rfam family "Bacterial small subunit ribosomal RNA", at positions 28 to 507 of the family's 1533-position model. The record is from RNAcentral.
GACGAACGCUGGCGGCGUGCUUAACACAUGCCAGUCGAACGGAAAGGCCCUGCUUUUGUGGGGUGCUCGAGUGGCGAACGGGUGAGUAACACGUGAGUAACCUGCCCUUGACUUUGGGAUAACUUCAGGAAACUGGGGCUAAUACCGGAUAGGAGCUCCUGCUGCAUGGUGUGGGUUGGAAAGUUUCGGCGGUUGGGGAUGUACUCGCGGCUUAUCAGCUUGUUGGUGGGGUAGUGGCUUACCAAGGUUUUGACGGGUAGCCGGCCUGAGAGGGUGAGCGGCCACAUUGGGACUGAGGGACGGCCCAGACUGCUACGGGAGGCAGCAGUGGGGAAUAUUGCACAAUGGGCGGAAGCCUGAUGCAGCAACGCCGCGUGCGGGAUGACGGCCUUCGGGUUGUAAACCGCUUUCGCCUGUGACGAAGCGUGAGUGACGGUAAUGGGUAAAGAAGCACCGGCUAACUACGUG